GAUGAACGCUGGCGGCGUGCCUAAUACAUGCCAGUCGAGCGAACAGACGAGGAGCUUGCUCCUCUGACGUUAGCGGCGGACGGGUGAGUAACACGUGGAUAACCUACCUAUAAGACUGGGAUAACUUCGGGAAACCGGAGCUAAUACCGGAUAAUAUAUUGAACCGCAUGGUUCAAUAGUGAAAGACGGUUUUGCUGUCACUUAUAGAUGGAUCCGCGCCGCAUUAGCUAGUUGGUAAGGUAACGGCUUACCAAGGCAACGAUGCGUAGCCGACCUGAGAGGGUGAUCGGCCACACUGGAACUGAGACACGGUCCAGACUCCUACGGGAGGCAGCAGUAGGGAAUCGUCCGCAAUGGGCGAAAGCCUGACGGAGCAACGCCGCGUGAGUGAUGAAGGUCUUCGGAUCGUAAAACUCUGUUAUUAGGGAAGAACAAAUGUGUAAGUAACUAUGCACGUCUUGACGGUACCUAAUCAGAAAGCCACGGCUAACUACGUG
RNAcentral lists this ribosomal RNA (497 nucleotides) under uncultured bacterium. RNAcentral's name for it is "partial 16S ribosomal RNA". It matches the Rfam family "Bacterial small subunit ribosomal RNA", at positions 28 to 507 of the family's 1533-position model. The record is from RNAcentral.